Molecule: transfer RNA, 76 nt
Filed under: Marmota monax (woodchuck)
Lineage: Eukaryota; Metazoa; Chordata; Mammalia; Rodentia; Sciuridae
Description: tRNA.Ala
Source: RNAcentral
UGGGUUGUGGCUCAGUGGUAGAGCAUUUGCCUAGCACAUACAUGUGAGGCACUGGGUUCAAUCUCCAGCAUCACAU